CCUACGGGAGGCAGCAGUAGGGAAUCUUCCGCAAUGGACGAAAGUCUGACGGAGCAACGCCGCGUGAACGAUGAAGGCCUUCGGGUCGUAAAGUUCUGUUGUUAGGGAAGAACAAGUGCUAGUUAAAUAAGCUGGCACCUUGACGGUACCUAACCAGAAAGCCACGGCUAACUACGUGCCAGCAGCCGCGGUAAUACGUAGGUGGCAAGCGUUGUCCGGAAUUAUUGGGCGUAAAGCGCGCGCAGGCGGUUUCUUAAGUCUGAUGCGAAAGCCCCCGGCUCAACCGGGGAGGGUCAUUGGAAACUGGGAAACUUGAGUGCAGAAGAGGAAAGUGGAAUUCCAAGUGUAGCGGUGAAAUGCGUAGAGAUUUGGAGGAACACCAGUGGCGAAGGCGACUUUCUGGUCUGUAACUGACGCUGAGGCGCGAAAGCGUGGGGAGCAAACAGGAUUAGAUACCCUGGUAGUCCACGCUGUAAACGAUGAGUGCUAAGUGUUAGAGGGUUUCCGCCCUUUAGUGCUGAAGUUAACGCAUUAAGCACUCCGCCUGGGGAUACGGUCGCAAGACUGAAACUCAAAAGGAAUUGACGG
RNAcentral lists this ribosomal RNA (588 nucleotides) under uncultured bacterium. Its description in RNAcentral is "bacterial SSU rRNA". It matches the Rfam family "Bacterial small subunit ribosomal RNA", at positions 338 to 916 of the family's 1533-position model. The record is from RNAcentral.